RNAcentral lists this ribosomal RNA (663 nucleotides) under Eupines (Eupines) sp. 2 JS-2020. Its description in RNAcentral is "partial large subunit ribosomal RNA". It matches the Rfam family "Eukaryotic large subunit ribosomal RNA", at positions 670 to 1206 of the family's 3401-position model. The record is from RNAcentral. Lineage: Eukaryota; Metazoa; Arthropoda; Insecta; Coleoptera; Staphylinidae.
GGAGUCUAGUAAAUGAGCGAGUCUAAGGUAUCGGUCGAAUACCGCAGGCGUUGUGAAGGCACUUGCUCGUCGCGGUUUCGCACCCUGUGUGCGGCCGUGCGGGCGCGCGCCAGCUUCAUAGCGAUGAUGGGCGCCCGAACAGCGUUCCGCAAUCGCGAGGUGGUCUCGUUCUCGCUCGUCGGGAAGAGCCAUCCUUUUAGCUCACGUGCUAGUACCCGAAAGAUGGUGAACUAUGCUUGACGAGAGCUGAGUUAGGGGAAACCCUGAUGUAAGCUCGUCAUCGAUUCUGACGUGCAAAUCGAUCGUCUGAGUUACGUAUAGGGGCGAAAGACCAAUCGAACCAUCUAGUAGCUGGUUCCUUCCGAAGUUUCCCUCAGGAUAGCUCGUGCCGCUUUAGCUAGUAACAUGUGGUAAAGCUAAUGACUAGAGGUAUUGGGACCGAAACGGCCUCAACCUAUUCUCAAACUUUCAAUGUGUGUGAGAUCCGACGGCUUACGGUGACUUACGUUUGACGAAGCCGGUACGAAACUCGCGCGCGCGCGCGGGCAACCGCGCGCGCGACUUGCAAUAACGCGGCACGUAGUGGGCCGAUUUUGGUAAGCAGAAACGGCGAUGUGGGAUGAACCAAAUACAAAGCUAAAGCGUCAAAGUCAACGCUCAUGG